Molecule: unclassified non-coding RNA, 342 nt
Filed under: Hevea brasiliensis (rubber tree)
Lineage: Eukaryota; Viridiplantae; Streptophyta; Magnoliopsida; Malpighiales; Euphorbiaceae
Source: RNAcentral
AUCCUCUCCUCUCCUCUCUCUCUCAGUCCCUUUCCAUGUUCCUCUCCUCACUCAUGAAACCAGUGGCUUGAUUUAUUGAUGCACCCUACUAUCCUGAGAAAAUAACGAUCACAUACUCCCUAAGGCAAGGAGGCGCUGCCGCUUUUGCCUCAUCGUUGGUGAUCAGGGUCAACCGUCUUCCUUCACCCAACCUCUACAGUCGUCUUUGGUGUACUUGUGCGUGCGUUGGUGUGCUUGUGGUAUGGUAUUGGAUAUGGACAGGACGGGUAGACAAGGCUUAAGAGAUACUCGCUGGGACCCGGCCUUUAUGGAUAAGUUGGGGUAGACACGGCUUGAGAGACA